RNAcentral lists this ribosomal RNA (278 nucleotides) under Bacillus subtilis. RNAcentral describes it as "partial 16S ribosomal RNA". It matches the Rfam family "Bacterial small subunit ribosomal RNA", at positions 189 to 461 of the family's 1533-position model. Lineage: Bacteria; Bacillati; Bacillota; Bacilli; Caryophanales; Bacillaceae. The record is from RNAcentral.
AUGAGAGAAGAUGGAAAGACGGUUUACGCUGUCACUUAUAGAUGGGCCCGCGGCGCAUUAACUAGUUGGUGAGGUAAUGGCUCCCCAAGGCGACGAUGGGUAACCGACCUGAGAGGGUGAUUGGCCCCCCUGGGACUGAGACCCGGCCCAGACUCCUUCGGGAGGCAGCAGUAGGGAAUUUUCCGCAAUGGACGAAAGUCUGACGGAGCAACCCCGCGUGAACGAAGAAGGCCUUUGGGUUGUAAAGUUCNGUUGUUAGGGAAGAACAAGUACCAGAG